This 449-nucleotide ribosomal RNA is filed under the name uncultured bacterium. RNAcentral's name for it is "partial 16S ribosomal RNA". It matches the Rfam family "Bacterial small subunit ribosomal RNA", at positions 29 to 523 of the family's 1533-position model. The record is from RNAcentral.
AGCGAACGCUGGCGGCAGGCCUAACACAUGCAAGUCGAACGGAUCCUUCGGGAUUAGUGGCGGACGGGUGAGCAACACGUGGGAACGUGCCCUUUGGUUCGGAACAACUCAGGGAAACUUGAGCUAAUACCGGAUGUGCCCUUCGGGGGAAAGAUUUAUCGCCAUUGGAGCGGCCCGCGUCUGAUUAGCUAGUUGGUGAGGUAAAGGCUCACCAAGGCGACGAUCAGUAGCUGGUCUGAGAGGAUGAUCAGCCACAUUGGGACUGAGACACGGCACAAACUCCUACGGGAGGCAGCAGUGGGGAAUCUUGCGCAAUGGGCGAAAGCCUGACGCAGCCAUGCCGCGUGAAUGAUGAAGGCCUUAGGAUUGUAAAAUUCUUUCACCGGGGACGAUAAUGACGGUACCCGGAGAAGAAGCCCCGGCUAACUUCGUGCCAGCCGCCGCCGUAA